GAUGAAUGCUGGCGGCGUGCCUAAUACAUGCAAGUCGAGCGAACGGACGAGAAGCUUGCUUCUCUGAUGUUAGCGGCGGACGGGUGAGUAACACGUGGAUAACCUACCUAUAAGACUGGGAUAACUUCGGGAAACCGGAGCUAAUACCGGAUAAUAUUUUGAACCGCAUGGUUCAAAAGUGAAAGACGGUCUUGCUGUCACUUAUAGAUGGAUCCUCGCUGCAUUAGCUAGUUGGUAAGGUAACGGCUUACCAAGGCAACGAUGCAUAGCCGACCUGAGAGGGUGAUCGGCCACACUGGAACUGAGACACGGUCCAGACUCCUACGGGAGGCAGCAGUAGGGAAUCUUCCGCAAUGGGCGAAAGCCUGACGGAGCAACGCCGCGUGAGUGAUGAAGGUCUUCGGAUCGUAAAACUCUGUUAUUAGGGAAGAACAUAUGUGUAAGUAACUGUGCACAUCUUGACGGUACCUAAUCAGAAAGCCACGGCUAACUACGUG
Molecule: ribosomal RNA, 497 nt
Filed under: uncultured bacterium
Lineage: Bacteria
Description: partial 16S ribosomal RNA
Rfam family: Bacterial small subunit ribosomal RNA
Source: RNAcentral